UGCCAGCCGCCGCGGUAAUACGAAGGGAACUAGCGUUGUUCGGAUUUACUGGGCGUAAAGAGCAUGUAGGCGGAUUGGACAGUUGGAGGUGAAAUCCCGGAGCUCAACUCCGGAACCUGCCUUCAAUACUUCCAGUCUAGAAUCUGUAAGGGGGUGGUGGAAUUCCGAGUGUAGAGGUGAAAUUCGUAGAUAUUCGGAGGAACACCAGUGGCGAAGGCGACCACCUGGUACAGUAUUGACGCUGAGAAGCGAAAGCGCGGGGGGCUAACAGGAUCUGGUA
Molecule: ribosomal RNA, 280 nt
Filed under: uncultured bacterium
Lineage: Bacteria
Description: partial 16S ribosomal RNA
Rfam family: Bacterial small subunit ribosomal RNA
Source: RNAcentral